This 245-nucleotide long non-coding RNA is filed under the name Elaeis guineensis (African oil palm). RNAcentral's name for it is "long non-coding RNA (EGUI_LNC014498)". The record is from RNAcentral. Lineage: Eukaryota; Viridiplantae; Streptophyta; Magnoliopsida; Arecales; Arecaceae.
GGUAUGUACCUCUAAACUUUUCAAGAUUUUUUAGUUACCAACAUUUUGACCAAUUUAGAUAAGAUGCCAAGAUGGUCAUUCAUAUGAUAGUUUACUAUAAACUAUCCAUAUAAACUAAACAGGGAUCGUAGGAUCAAAUCCACAAGCAAUUCCUUAUGCAUGGUCAUGUCAAGCUUUUCAAGCUCCUUAAUGUCCUUGAUCAUCAUCAAAUAAUGAUCAUAGACAAACUGCCUAUCACGCAUCUC